ACAGUCUGAAAAAUUCCAAAUGAGUCACACAUGAGGAAUGUGAAGCAUGACUGGGCUUCCAGAGUGGCACUGGAGCUGCCAGCCUUCUCUUCCCCCACCCACUUCUAGGGUGACUCUCAGCCCAACGCAGGUCCACAGAAUGUAUCUAGGGGCUGAAAAAGGACCAUACCAUCUCUCUUGAGCUCCUGAAGUCCUUUUCUAUUUGCUCAACUUGUUCCUCUCUGUAAGUUAUUGAGGUGCUUAGGGAGCAUGCAGAAGGAAGGGCCUAGUCUGAGAGGUAAGUUACUCUUGCCCAAAAUGAAAUGCAAAUCAUGUGGGACUGGGGUUCUUUCCCAGGCCAAGAUGGAAUCCCCACCAAGAGGCUCUGGAGUCUCAGCUUCACCUCUCCUGGGACCAACAGCUGCCUCUGCUGAUUUACUGUGAUAUGUUCCUCCACUGAGUACUUCUCUGGAUUUUUUGUUCAUUUCCAGAAACCUUUUUCAGGGCAAGAGGAGACUGAGUUCCACAGAAGUGAAAUUAUGUGGCAAAGCCUCCAUCUAUAGUAAUGAGGGAAAGCAGAAAGCAAAGCCAUUGUUCCGAGGUGGUCUAUGUGUGAGCAAAAGCCACUGAGAAUGCUGUACCAGUAACUACCCACCAAGGAAAAUGAUGGAAAACAGACUUACAAAUCCUGCACAGUGUUCACAGAAGGUUGGC
Non-coding RNA from Oryctolagus cuniculus (rabbit), 693 nucleotides. The record is from RefSeq and is a predicted model, not a curated record. Lineage: Eukaryota; Metazoa; Chordata; Mammalia; Lagomorpha; Leporidae.